This 465-nucleotide ribosomal RNA is filed under the name Vreelandella stevensii. Its description in RNAcentral is "partial 16S ribosomal RNA". It matches the Rfam family "Bacterial small subunit ribosomal RNA", at positions 338 to 795 of the family's 1533-position model. Lineage: Bacteria; Pseudomonadati; Pseudomonadota; Gammaproteobacteria; Oceanospirillales; Halomonadaceae. The record is from RNAcentral.
CCUACGGGGGGCAGCAGUGGGGAAUAUUGGACAAUGGGGGCAACCCUGAUCCAGCCAUGCCGCGUGUGUGAAGAAGGCCCUCGGGUUGUAAAGCACUUUCAGUGAGGAAGAACGCCUGGUGGUUAAUACCCAUCAGGAAAGACAUCACUCACAGAAGAAGCACCGGCUAACUCCGUGCCAGCAGCCGCGGUAAUACGGAGGGUGCGAGCGUUAAUCGGAAUUACUGGGCGUAAAGCGCGCGUAGGUGGCUUGAUAAGCCGGUUGUGAAAGCCCCGGGCUCAACCUGGGAACGGCAUCCGGAACUGUCAAGCUAGAGUGCAGGAGAGGAAGGUAGAAUUCCCGGUGUAGCGGUGAAAUGCGUAGAGAUCGGGAGGAAUACCAGUGGCGAAGGCGGACUUCUGGACUGACACUGACACUGAGGUGCGAAAGCGUGGGUAGCAAACAGGAUUAGAUACCCUAGUAGUC